RNAcentral lists this ribosomal RNA (164 nucleotides) under uncultured bacterium. RNAcentral describes it as "partial 16S rRNA". It matches the Rfam family "Bacterial small subunit ribosomal RNA", at positions 355 to 511 of the family's 1533-position model. The record is from RNAcentral.
UAGGGAAUCUUCCACAAUGGGCGCAAGCCUGAUGGAGCAACACCGCGUGAAUGAAGAAGGUCUUCGGAUCGUAAAACUCUGUUGUUAGAGAAGAACACGAGUGAGAGUAACUGUUCAUUCGAUGACGGUAUCUAACCAGCAAGUCACGGCUAACUACGUGCCAG